RNAcentral lists this ribosomal RNA (404 nucleotides) under uncultured prokaryote. Its description in RNAcentral is "bacterial SSU rRNA". It matches the Rfam family "Bacterial small subunit ribosomal RNA", at positions 355 to 776 of the family's 1533-position model. The record is from RNAcentral.
UGGGGAAUAUUGCGCAAUGGGGGGAACCCUGACGCAGCGACGCCGCGUGAGUGAAGAAGGCUUUCGGGUCGUAAAGCUCUUAUCUGCGGGAAGAAGAGACGGUACCGCAGGAGAAAGCCCCGGCUAACUACGUGCCAGCAGCCGCGGUAAUACGUAGGGGGCAAGCGUUGUCCGGAGUAACUGGGCGUAAAGGGCGCGUAGGCGGAAUAAUAAGUCAGUUGUGAAAGAUAUGGGCUCAACUCAUAGAACGCAUCUGAAACUGUUAAAUCUGGAGUAUAGGAGAGGGAAACGGAAUUCCUGGUGUAGCGGUGAAAUGCGUAGAGAUCAGGAAGAACAUCAGUGGCGAAGGCGGUUUCCUGGCCUAAAACUGACGCUGAAGCGCGAAAGCAUGGGUAGCGAACAGG